Molecule: long non-coding RNA, 525 nt
Organism: Ostrinia nubilalis (European corn borer)
Lineage: Eukaryota; Metazoa; Arthropoda; Insecta; Lepidoptera; Crambidae
Exons: 2
Source: RefSeq, a predicted model, not a curated record
CACCACUGGUGACUGGUCUUCAAAAAUAAUAACAAAUAUAAAAAUGGCUUUGCCUCCUCCAGAGGAAAAGAAACGAAGGGUGCCACUGUACCCUGGCUUCCCUGAGCUGGCCAGAUCUGAUGUCAGCAUCUACCCAUCUUAUUCCAAAUUGGCAUUAGCAUACCGCGUGGUUUGUCGCCAUCGUUAUCAUUGGGCCAGCGUAGCCCAACGCAAGCAGUUCAUGAGGGAGCUACACAGCUUUGAGAAACUCCAGCCAAACGCACUGGACGGAGUGAGAGUGCACCGUGAGUUCUCACAGGGCAUCCUCUCGCACAAAAUACCUCCAAGGCGAUACAUACAGAAGUUAACACCAGACCCUCUGAACUCCCAUGAAAGAAUGAGAGUGGAAGAAAUAAUAAGUGGCAGAGUUAACUUUAGUGAAAAAUAAGGAGCGUUUUGAUUCAUGUGGUAAAUAAAGCAUUUCAGUAGCUGAUUUAGCUCCUUAUAUCAUAUUAAUCAGAUUUGGAAAUAAAAUUUAUUUCUCUA